GCUUAACACAUGCAAGUCGAGGGGCAGCAUGGUCUUAGCUUGCUAAGGCCGAUGGCGACCGGCGCACGGGUGAGUAACACGUAUCCAACCUGCCGUCUACUCUUGGACAGCCUUCUGAAAGGAAGAUUAAUACAAGAUGGCAUCAUGAGUCCGCAUGUUCACAUGAUUAAAGGUAUUCCGGUAGACGAUGGGGAUGCGUUCCAUUAGAUAGUAGGCGGGGUAACGGCCCACCUAGUCUUCGAUGGAUAGGGGUUCUGAGAGGAAGGUCCCCCACAUUGGAACUGAGACACGGUCCAAACUCCUACGGGAGGCAGCAGUGAGGAAUAUUGGUCAAUGGGCGAGAGCUUGAACCAGCCAAGUAGCGUGAAGGAUGACUGCCCUAUGGGUUGUAAACUUCUUUUAUAAAGGAAUAAAGUCGGGUAUGGAUACCCGUUUGCAUGUACUUUAUGAAUAAGGAUCGGCUAACUCCGUGCCAGCAGCCGCGGUAAUACGGAGGAUCCGAGCGUUAUCCGGAUUUAUUGGGUUUAAAGGGAGCGUAGAUGGAUGUUUAAGUCAGUUGUGAAAGUUUGCGGCUCAACCGUAAAAUUGCAGUUGAUACUGGAUAUCUUGAGUGCAGUUGAGGCAGGCGGAAUUCGUGGUGUAGCGGUGAAAUGCUUAGAUAUCACGAAGAACUCCGAUUGCGAAGGCAGCCUGCUAAGCUGCAACUGACAUUGAGGCUCGAAAGUGUGGGUAUCAAACAGGAUUAGAUACCCUGGUAGUCCACACGGUAAACGAUGAAUACUCGCUGUUUGCGAUAUACUGCAAGCGGCCAAGCGAAAGCGUUAAGUAUUCCACCUGGGGAGUACGCCGGCAACGGUGAAACUCAAAGGAAUUGACGGGGGCCCGCACAAGCGGAGGAACAUGUGGUUUAAUUCGAUGAUACGCGAGGAACCUUACCCGGGCUUAAAUUGCAGAUGAAUUACGGUGAAAGCCGUAAGCCGCAAGGCAUCUGUGAAGGUGCUGCAUGGUUGUCGUCAGCUCGUGCCGUGAGGUGUCGGCUUAAGUGCCAUAACGAGCGCAACCCUUGUUGUCAGUUACUAACAGGUUCCGCUGAGGACUCUGACAAGACUGCCAUCGUAAGAUGUGAGGAAGGUGGGGAUGACGUCAAAUCAGCACGGCCCUUACGUCCGGGGCUACACACGUGUUACAAUGGGGGGUACAGAGGGCCGCUACCACGCGAGUGGAUGCCAAUCCCCAAAACCUCUCUCAGUUCGGACUGGAGUCUGCAACCCGACUCCACGAAGCUGGAUUCGCUAGUAAUCGCGCAUCAGCCACGGCGCGGUGAAUACGUUCCCGGGCCUUGUACACACCGCCCGUCAAGCCAUGGGAGCCGGGGGUACCUGAAGUGCGUAACCGCGAGGAGCGCCCUAGGGUAAAACUGGUGACUGGGGCUAA
Molecule: ribosomal RNA, 1434 nt
Filed under: uncultured bacterium
Lineage: Bacteria
Description: 16S ribosomal RNA
Rfam family: Bacterial small subunit ribosomal RNA
Source: RNAcentral